GACGAACGCUGGCGGCGUGCCUAAUACAUGCAAGUCGUGCGGACCUUUUAAAAGCUUGCUUUUAAAAGGUUAGCGGCGGACGGGUGAGUAACACGUGGGCAACCUGCCUGUAAGACUGGGAUAACGCCGGGAAACCGGGGCUAAUACCGGAUAGUUUUUUCCUCCGCAUGGAGGAAAAAGGAAAGGCGGCUUCGGCUGUCACUUACAGAUGGGCCCGCGGCGCAUUAGCUAGUUGGCGGGGUAACGGCCCACCAAGGCAACGA
RNAcentral lists this ribosomal RNA (263 nucleotides) under Heyndrickxia coagulans. RNAcentral describes it as "Bacillus coagulans partial 16S ribosomal RNA". It matches the Rfam family "Bacterial small subunit ribosomal RNA", at positions 28 to 279 of the family's 1533-position model. Lineage: Bacteria; Bacillati; Bacillota; Bacilli; Caryophanales; Bacillaceae. The record is from RNAcentral.